This is a non-coding RNA of Oryza glumipatula, 203 nucleotides long. NCBI's taxonomy places the organism in Eukaryota, Viridiplantae, Streptophyta, Magnoliopsida, Poales, Poaceae. The record is from Rfam.
AAUAAGUGAAGUCACGAAUUUCCGUAUCUAACUUUAAUCGUUUGUCUUAUUUAAAAUUUUUUAUAAUUAGUAUUUUUAUUAUUAUUAGAUUAUAAAACAUGAAUAAUAUUUUAUGCAUGACUUAUGUUUUUUAUGUUUUUUUAAAAAAAUUAAAUAAGAAGAACGAUUAAACUUGGACACGGAAAAUCAUAGUUGCGUUUAUU